Molecule: unclassified non-coding RNA, 210 nt
Filed under: Hevea brasiliensis (rubber tree)
Lineage: Eukaryota; Viridiplantae; Streptophyta; Magnoliopsida; Malpighiales; Euphorbiaceae
Source: RNAcentral
CUAAUUCUUUUUAAUUGUCUCUAUAAAAUCAUACAUGUAGUUCAUAUUUAAAAGUUAUAUUAUGCUAGGUAUGUUGACAAAAAGAACUUUUGGCGCAUUUGCAUCAAAAAGUAGUUCGCUUUAUAAAAUUAUUUGUAAAUUAAAUUUUAAAUAUAUGAUUUUGUAAUGGUACAUUGUUAAAAUUCUAGCUUAAUUCUGGUUAAAUGCAAG